UACGAAGGGGGCUAGCGUUGCUCGGAAUCACUGGGCGUAAAGCGCACGUAGGCGGAUCUUUAAGUCAGGGGUGAAAUCCCAAGGCUCAACCUUGGAACUGCCUUUGAUACUGGGGAUCUCGAGUCCGGAAGAGGUGAGUGGAACUGCGAGUGUAGAGGUGAAAUUCGUAGAUAUUCGCAAGAACACCAGUGGCGAAGGCGGCUCACUGGUCCGGUACUGACGCUGCGGUGCGAAAGCGUGGGGAGCAAACAGG
RNAcentral lists this ribosomal RNA (253 nucleotides) under uncultured bacterium. RNAcentral's name for it is "partial 16S ribosomal RNA". It matches the Rfam family "Bacterial small subunit ribosomal RNA", at positions 524 to 776 of the family's 1533-position model. The record is from RNAcentral.